Homo sapiens (human) is the source of this 77-nucleotide microRNA precursor. Ensembl annotates it as microRNA 933. Its record names the gene MIR933. The record is from Ensembl. Lineage: Eukaryota; Metazoa; Chordata; Mammalia; Primates; Hominidae.
ACUUGGGUCAGUUCAGAGGUCCUCGGGGCGCGCGUCGAGUCAGCCGUGUGCGCAGGGAGACCUCUCCCACCCACAGU